CUACGUGCCAGCAGCCGCGGUAAUACGUAGGUGGCAAGCGUUGUCCGGAUUUAUUGGGCGUAAAGCGAGUGCAGGCGGUUCAAUAAGUCUGAUGUGAAAGCCUUCGGCUCAACCGGAGAAUUGCAUCAGAAACUGUUGAACUUGAGUGCAGAAGAGGAGAGUGGAACUCCAUGUGUAGCGGUGGAAUGCGUAGAUAUAUGGAAGAACACCAGUGGCGAAGGCGGCUCUCUGGUCUGCAACUGACGCUGAGGCUCGAAAGCAUGGGUAGCG
This 270-nucleotide ribosomal RNA is filed under the name uncultured bacterium. Its description in RNAcentral is "partial 16S ribosomal RNA". It matches the Rfam family "Bacterial small subunit ribosomal RNA", at positions 501 to 770 of the family's 1533-position model. The record is from RNAcentral.